AUUAUGAGAUGUUUUCAUUAUUGCAAAAGAGAAUCAGGGUCAGGUAAACGGGAGCUUUACUAUAGGAAAUCUGUAUAUCUUUUUCAAUAAUGAAAACAUCUUGAUAACUGACCAUUUCAGAAUCGUAUUACAUAUUCUGAAACUAUAUAAAAAAGAAAUGAACACUGUCUUUUUUAUUUCAGUUGUCUUUUUUACAAAUGAAUGCUAUAAACACAUAAACUUCAUCAAAUAUUUUGAUCAGUGCAACAUUGUUUCUUUUUCGUUAAUGCUACAGUAUGCUUUCUCACAGAAUCCUGACUGAAGCCAGUGGCCUUUAUCCAGCUUCAGCUGACACACAUGUAGCAUCGACACAAGGAUUCAUGUCAUCGGAAACUACCGGAAAGAAACGGGAAAACAACAGUAUACAGCACAGUACAUGAACAUACCGAGAAACCUGUAGAAAACAUUAGUAUUGUCAGCAGUGAAGCCCUGUUAUCGGUUAAACUACGUGUGUACGGCAUUGCUAAAAUCAGACCCAUCCAGCGGUCCAGAAUCCAAACCGUCGACCCAGUGACAAUGAGAUGAGAUGGUCUCCAGACGUCUCAAGAGAAUGGGUUGUUGCGAUUGGACCCUGCAGUUUGAGGCAACAGUCCUUUGGUACAGACACAAGGCCAAUGACAGAACGCUUGCGAAGCGAUGCGUGAGAACUUUUAUUAGCACCACUCUUAAAAUGAGAGUUUUAUUCAAAAGCACAUGCAUUCAAGCUCGACGGAUGGUGAAAGAAGCGCUUUGAUGAAACCUCAAAUCAAAGCAAUCAAGGCAAUGACGAUCAUCAAUUUUUUUUUUGGUAUGCUGGAUAAACAGACAUUCUGAAUGUGAUUAUAGAGGAUAUGAUGAUUAUAAAUCUGUAAUCCAGGUGAAUAAAACUCGCCUAUGAAAUGCAUUUAUGUUCCCAUGAUGAAAUGCGCGCUGGAUUUGUAUUAACAUCUGUCUUGAACAAGGUCUGCAUCUUUUGGGAGCGUAGCAAAAUAACCAAACAGGACGGAAAAAGCACACGUUUCACUUUCACAAAACAGUCAGACGAUUGUAUUUACAACAUACAACCCAAGAAAAAAGGGAUACUGCAGCUUUCUUUUUUGUCCUUUUACUCGUUUCUUUGAAAAGGGCAUUAAAAUAUAUUAAAACUUAUGUACAAUAUGCAGGACUUUAACAUUAAAGCGCUAUGAAUUUACCGGGAUUUGUUUUGCAGAUUCGACCGACAGCUUUUUCGAGAACUAAAGGGUUGAAAACACCCAGAAAACAACAGAGGAGGCCAAAAAAGAUGUACCAAAGGCACUGACUGAACCAUACUCAGAAUGCAACAGGGCUGGAUGAUUUUCCACCCCGUUUGAUCCUUGCCCUACCAUGGGGUAUUAACCUUCCCUUGGCCGUAUAUGGUUCUUUUUUUUUUUUUUACACAUCUCCUUAAAGCGCAAAGCA
Sinocyclocheilus anshuiensis is the source of this 1458-nucleotide long non-coding RNA. RefSeq lists it as uncharacterized. The record is from RefSeq and is a predicted model, not a curated record. Lineage: Eukaryota; Metazoa; Chordata; Actinopteri; Cypriniformes; Cyprinidae. The transcript is spliced from 4 exons.